GCAUGCGCUGGGAGAGGAGUCCGCGGCCGAUUAGCUAGUUGGUAGGGUAAAAGCCUACCAAGGCAUCGAUCGGUAGCCGGCCUGAGAGGGCACACGGCCACACUGGCACUGAAACACGGGCCAGACUCCUACGGGAGGCAGCAGUGGGGAAUCUUGCACAAUGGAGGAAACUCUGAUGCAGCGACGCCGCGCGAGCGAUGAAGCCCUUCGGGGUGUAAAGCUCUUUCGACAGGGACGAUAAUGACGGUACCUGGAGAAGCAGCUGCGGCUAACUACGUGCCAGCAGCCGCGGUAAUACGUAGGCAGCAAGCGUUGUUCGGAGUUACUGGGCGUAAAGGGUGUGUAGGCGGCCUUCUAAGUUCGGUGUGAAAUCUCCCGGCUUAACCGGGAGGGUGCGCCGGAAACUGGCAGGCUAGAGUGUGGGAGGGGAAAGUGGAAUUCCUGGUGUAGCGGUGAAAUGCGUAGAUAUCAGGAGGAACACCUGUGGUGUAGACGGCUUUCUGGACCAUAACUGACGCUGAGACACGAAAGCGUGGGUAGCAAACAGGAUUAGAUACCCUGGUAGUCCACGCCCUAAACGAUGCACAUUUGGUGUGGGUCAUUCAGUUGAUCCGUGCCGGAGCUAACGCGUUAAUGUGCCGCCUGGGGAGUACAGUCGCAAGGCUGAAACUCAAAGGAAUUGACGGGGGCCCGCACAAGCGGUUGAGCAUGUGGUUUAAUUCGACGCAACGCGAAGAACCUUACCUGGGCUCGAACGGCUUUGGACCAUCCUUGGAAACAGGGACUUCCCGCAAGGGACCGGAGUCGAGGUGCUGCAUGGCUGUCGUCAGCUCGUGUCGUGAGAUGUUGGGUUAAGUCCCGCAACGAGCGCAACCCUUGUCCUGUGUUGCCAUAGAUGGAACUCGCAGGAGACCGCCAGGGAUAACCUGGAGGAAGGUGGGGAUGACGUCAAGUCCUCAUGGCCUUUAUGUCCAGGGCUACACACGUGCUACAAUGGACGGUACAAAGCGUCGCCAACCCGCGAGGGGGAGCUAAUCGCAAAAAACCGUUCUCAGUUCGGAUUGCAGGCUGCAACUCGCCUGCAUGAAGCUGGAAUCGCUAGUAAUGCUAUAUCAGAACGAUAGCGUGAAUACGUUCCCGGGCCUUGUACACACCGCCCGUCACAUCACGAAAGUGGAUUGUACUAGAAGUUCUCAGGCGAAAAAAAAAG
RNAcentral lists this ribosomal RNA (1210 nucleotides) under metagenome. RNAcentral describes it as "bacterial SSU rRNA". It matches the Rfam family "Bacterial small subunit ribosomal RNA", at positions 211 to 1446 of the family's 1533-position model. The record is from RNAcentral.